CUCCUUCCCCGAGCCCCGGACUAGCUCAUCCUGCAGGCCGCUCACGUCAUUCCUCCCAGGGCUUCUCUGCCAGGCUUUCUUCCCCCCUCCUCUGUCCCGCCAGCUUCUCCCAGCGCUCUUACUGGGGACAGAAGGGAGUUGAAUGACAGGGUCCCCAAAAUGGGAUGCCCAGAGAAACUGAGUCCCGCCCUCCCCCCUUCACACUUGGGGUCCUCCGUCCUCAUCUCCUCCCCAUGCCCCAUUCCAGCUCUCUAUCCAUUCUACCCACUUCAAAUGUGCUCCCUUGUGGCUUCCUCCUCCCGAUCCCCACCCCCAAGAGCCAUACAGGCCGGCCCCCGAAGGCCAAGAAAUUGGGGGCAGUGGGACGGCGAUGCAUCGAAGAUCCCCAGAGUUCGAGUAAAGCAACAGAGGGGUCCGGAGGGAAGAAAGAAGCACCCGCCGAGCCCGUCUUGAGUUUCUCCAGACAAAGCUGGGGGUUCCAGUCGCUGUGGUAACAGGUCUGAGGGAAAUCGGUGGGUGUCGGCCCCAGCACAAAGCCCGCUUGCAUGGCAGCACCAUCUCUUAGCAACCGCCUCCCUCUCCUCUUGGCGGCUGCUGCCGAUCCCGGGGGCGAGCACCCGGGAGAGAACAAGGCAGUUAAGAUCCCGAGGUGGAGAGGAGCAGGGUUCCCGGCUCCGGGUCGGCGGCCCUGUCUUGGACUUCAGGAAGCCCAGUGGCUCUGCCUGAGAGGGAUUUGGUGCCCAAGGAGAGAUGCCCUCCCUGAAGCCUUGGCCCCACAGCUGCAGCCCUGAGUAGAGGUCGGGGAGGCACCUCGGAGAAUUCAGGAGCGCGAGGGGGCCAACGCGCGGAGCCUGUUCUGGGGAGAGGAAGCAGGAAGCCCCUUCGAGUGGGUCAAGCUCUGGCCACGGCCUCCGGAAGCUUUCGACUUGGGAGGGAGAUGAGGUGGGGACGGGCUCAGCUGCUGGGUCUCCCCGGGAGCCCGAACGGAUAUCUGUAGGAUCCGUUGCCAGAGCGCCUCAGGGAGCGUGGGCAUCUCAGUGAGUGUAGAAGCCUCCAGGCUCUGGGAGGAUCGGACAACGAUCUUUACUCCACGGGACAUCCGCUUCGUGGAGGGUGAGCAAGGGGGCCUGGUUAGGAAGCUGGGCCUGUGGCCCCUGGGUCCUUGCCGACCACCCCCAUUUGAGGCCCAGGGGCAGGUCCAUAAUAAAGCAUAGUACCCUGC
Molecule: long non-coding RNA, 1222 nt
Organism: Ornithorhynchus anatinus (platypus)
Lineage: Eukaryota; Metazoa; Chordata; Mammalia; Monotremata; Ornithorhynchidae
Exons: 2
Source: RefSeq, a predicted model, not a curated record